RNAcentral lists this ribosomal RNA (708 nucleotides) under Triticum aestivum (bread wheat). RNAcentral describes it as "partial small subunit ribosomal RNA". Lineage: Eukaryota; Viridiplantae; Streptophyta; Magnoliopsida; Poales; Poaceae. The record is from RNAcentral.
AUGGACAUGGAGGGCGCCGAUGUGCUGGUGGACAUCCUCCGCUGCCUCCCGCCGAGGAGCCUGGCCGCCAUCCGCUGCGUCUGCAAGGCGUGGCGCGCCACCGUGGACGACCAUCGCCUCCUGCGCACCGACAUCCUCCCGCUCUCGCUCGACGGAGUCAUCUACGAGACGAGAGAAAUGGAUGACGACGCCCAGAGGCUCUUCGCCCGCCGCUCCACGGCGCACCAGAUCACCACCGGCCUCGAGCACAUCGACGGCAGUCCCGAUGAGGAGGUGUUGUUCCGGCCAAUGUAUGACUGUUGCAGUGGCCUCAUCUUGCUGCAUGAUCGCGUGGUCAACCCAGCCACGCGACAGUGGGCGAGAUUCCCCCGCCUCCGCCAUCGCGCACGUGCAGGUGCAGCUACGACUGUAAUAGCUGAUCACGCGGUGUCGCCACAUUACGAGGUGUUGCUUAUCCCUUGUGGUUGUAAUCCUGAAUCGGUUGGCGCGGUGGAGUGGCCAUCGUCGCCAUAUGUCAUCCAUGUGUUCUCAUCAAAGACUCGACGCUGGAAGGAUAGGUCACUUGUGCGACAAGGGGAUGCCACCGGGACAGCUGCCGACAUGGAUUUAUGGCCAGUGGAGUUGUUCCACUCUGCCUAUUGGCAAGGGGUACUUUACGUCCGGAGUCAAUACGGUUCAGUUUUAAGGUACUUAGAGCAUCUCCAAUAG